RNAcentral lists this ribosomal RNA (465 nucleotides) under uncultured bacterium. RNAcentral's name for it is "bacterial SSU rRNA". It matches the Rfam family "Bacterial small subunit ribosomal RNA", at positions 29 to 490 of the family's 1533-position model. The record is from RNAcentral.
AUUGAACGCUGGCGGAAUGCUUUACACAUGCAAGUCGAACGGCAGCACGGGGGCAACCCUGGUGGCGAGUGGCGAACGGGUGAGUAAUACAUCGGAACGUGCCCAAUCGUGGGGGAUAACGUAGCGAAAGCUACGCUAAUACCGCAUACGAUCUACGGAUGAAAGCGGGGGAUCGCAAGACCUCGCGCGAAUGGAGCGGCCGAUGGCAGAUUAGGUAGUUGGUGGGGUAAAGGCUCACCAAGCCGACGAUCUGUAGCUGGUCUGAGAGGACGACCAGCCACACUGGGACUGAGACACGGCCCAGACUCCUACGGGAGGCAGCAGUGGGGAAUUUUGGACAAUGGGCGCAAGCCUGAUCCAGCCAUUCCGCGUGCAGGAUGAAGGCCUCGGUUGUAACUGCUUUGGUACGGAACGAAAAGACUCUGGUUAAGUACCUGGGCGACAUGACGGUACCGUAAGAAUAAG